Long non-coding RNA from Hirundo rustica (Barn swallow), 3000 nucleotides. RefSeq lists it as uncharacterized. The transcript has 3 exons. Lineage: Eukaryota; Metazoa; Chordata; Aves; Passeriformes; Hirundinidae. The record is from RefSeq and is a predicted model, not a curated record.
UUGAAGGGCCCAGGCAGGAGGCCAAGCAGGUGCUGUUGAUGACCCUGUCACAGCACAGGGGAGCCUGAGAGCACCCAGAGCACUGGCCAGAAAAUCCAGCAGCUACAAGCCCAAAGUGGGAACCUGGACCAGAAAUGCAACCCCCUCCCCUCACUGGUGGCAAGGGACACCUCUGUCAUCAUCUGCUUCCUCUGAGGAUUGAUGCAGGCAGCCGAGCAAGACCCUGACUCCUGCAUGGCCCUGACUCACUGGAGGCUGACAGAAGGCUAAGGAGCCACUUCAGAAGCUGGACCCCAACUCAAUCCCACGGAGACUGAAUCUCAGUGCUACCACGCCCUGCUGCUCCAACAAAAAUCCAGCACAGGACAGCUACGAACAGAAGAGCUCUUCAGGACAGGAUCUAUGGCCUGGCUCCAGCUGGAAAGGACAAAAUGCACAGAGCAUGUGCAGCUGGAGGCACCUCCUGUUUGAUGGUGAGCUAAGAGCAAUGCUGCAGAGCCCUCCCAGCACAGGUGAGCUGUCCUACAGAGCCCUCCCAGCACAGGUGAGCUGUCCUACAGAGCCUUCCCAGCACAGGUGAGCUGUGCUGCAGUACCCCGAGUCAGUCCAAGGCCAUAAAGGCACCCAAGGAAAUCCCAGCCUGAAUCAAGCAUCACCAUGCACACACCCACCUGGACAAGGAACCUGUCUGCCUCUGCACAACGGGUGCAAGCAGGUAUAUUUGACAAAUAUGGUGCUCACAAGCACAUUCUUCAGUCUAGACAUUUCUUGGACAGGUCCUAAGCUUAAAUCAGUUAGCUACAUUAACACUAUGUAAAUCAUGGGUUUAAGACAGCAGCAUUGUGAUUUGGCAAUCAGGAAUGUUUUGGCUUCAGUGAACUCCAAGACAAACAUAACAGCAUUGAACUUGGGAAUUCAAAGUUGUAGUUUUAUAAAAUUAUGACAAAAUGCAAUUUUUUAUUGGAACUUAAGAUGUUAACUAGGAAUUUUGCUUCCCAAGACACCUAGGGAAGUUCUGAGUUACACAGCCAUCAAAAAUUAUUUUCAAAAUUGUUUCUUAGUCCCCCUGGCGUUUUUGAACUUUGAGGUAUGUGUAAUUCUUCUUGAUGUAGUGUCAUUUUGCAAACACUUCUUGAUAAAGCUUUGAGGAGCAAUAUGAAACAUGAUCUUUGCCACAGCUGCUAGCAAGAACCUUUCAAGUGAGAAUUGUGAAAUUAACCAUUAGGACAGUUUUAUGCUGUUCUUCAGGAAACCUAUGAGAAAUAUGGGGUUUUAUAGAUCCUAAACUGAGCAGAUCUGCCAGUUUCAGGGGAAAGGACACUGCAGCAGUCUUCUCCACUCUGCACCCAGCAGAGACAAAAGUAAACAUUUUACCUAACAGCAGUCAAAUAUUAGGACUAAACUGUAUUGAAAAAAAAAAAAAAUGACAGAAGCAAAUAGCCCUUACUGGCCUCUUGCUAGUAAAGCCAUGAACCCACCUUCUCAGAUUUCACUUGGUAAACACUUAGUAAGGAAAGCAUUUUAAUUUAGAGCAAUUCCUGUUUCAAAUAGCAUAAACUAUAUAAAACAACUAAAUAAUCCUGUUUUAUCACUAGAUCUGUAGUGGCUUGGCUGUUUGAACGUGAGCAAGGCUAGAAAACAUGCAUAUUGAGUAAUAUUGUAUGGGGUACAUGUAUAACUUAAGUAGAGGGUAAUUACUCAAAGUUGUAGUCUCCUAAGUUUUGUCAGUAUAGCUGCUUCCAAAGUUUACAGUGCUCUUGAAAGAAACACUUUGUAAAAGACUGAAGUCUUAACUAGUGAACUUCCUUCAAGAUUAAGUACAGAUUGAUGCUUUUCUUGGUGGGGUCAGGUCAGGCCUAGCAGAGAACCCUAAUGAGGCAGAAGGAAAGGAAAAAAAGAAAAUGUUUCUUUCACCAACCCAAAUUUUCGCUGACAACUCACUUAAAGGAGGCUGCACAUCAGGAAAGCUGUGAGGAACCUUUUAUACAACAUCUGCCCAUGGCAAAUUCAUCUCCCUGCUCUAUCUAUCCCUAUUGUUUACACACAAAUUAAAUCAUCCCAUUCCCCACCCCAUCAUCACUUCCCUCUCAAUUUUUCCCUAUUUAUUCAACUGCUUGACAUGGAAGCCUCUAAAAUGCAUAAUAGGAGGGCAUUAUCACCUCUAUCUUCUCAGCUGAAUGUCCCCACUAUUAGAGGAAAUAUAAACAACAGAAAUUAAAGACUAUGCAUCUUAGAAAAAGAAGGCAGCAACUGCUGCCAGCUAAAUGUUACUGCAACAGAGCCACUUCCAGGGAAAAUCAGCUGCUAUAACUGACCUGGUUAUGUAGGUCAAUAAAGUUACUAAUUCAAAGAUAAAGUGCGAGUCAGUCCUGCUAAGAUACACUCUUAAUACACUUUUACAAAAGCCAUUGCUUCAUAAAAGACAUAUUUCUGAAAGGUCAGAAUGUUCUCCUCCAUACUUUGAAAGGACAUGCAAAAUAUGCAUGAAUCCCACGAGCUGCUGUUCACCCUCAAGCGCCCAAUACCAGACACAACCUCAGCUAUAGUUGCCAGGGUUUCAACCAUCACUAAAAACCACCAGAUUUUUAAACAUGCAAGACUUCAUGAGUUUUACAAAACAAGCUCAGUGCCUUAUACACUAUUAUUUAAUUAAAGUGAAACACAAAUGUUCCUACAGCCUUUCCUAAUGAAUUCCAUACGUGAUUCCAUAUUGUGGAUGAGUGCACAAGGCAGGUGACCAGAUGUUUGCUCUGUCAAAUAAAUCAAGAUAAUUUCUUUCCCUAGAAAUCUUUGCACAUCAGCAAAAAUCAUCCUGUCUAACAGAGUUUGCUUCUGCUCCCUCUCUGCCCUAAGACAGUCCCUUUAUCCAAAAAAAGUAAGUGCAAAACCGCCUAAAUCGCUCUGACAGCAAGAACUAGGAAUACGUGAACAACAAGAAGAUGCAAUUUCUGAUUUUAAGAGAGGCAAAGCACUGUAACUAUUUAAAUAUCAGUUUUCCCA